AAUUAAUACACACGCAUAUCGACACGUCGUGCUGGGUGUCCCAAUAAACAAGGGGUCGCGCGUCGGGAUUUGCGGAGGCUUAAC
RNAcentral lists this small RNA (84 nucleotides) under marine eukaryotic metagenome. RNAcentral describes it as "t44 RNA". It matches the Rfam family "t44 RNA", at positions 11 to 95 of the family's 95-position model. Rfam says of the family: This family consists of a number of bacterial RNA genes of between 135 and 170 bases in length. The record is from RNAcentral.